RNAcentral lists this ribosomal RNA (832 nucleotides) under uncultured marine bacterium. RNAcentral describes it as "bacterial SSU rRNA". It matches the Rfam family "Bacterial small subunit ribosomal RNA", at positions 61 to 889 of the family's 1533-position model. The record is from RNAcentral.
GUCGUGCGAGAAAGUAUCUUCGGUUAUGAGUAGAGCGGCGGACGGGUGAGUAACGCGUAGGAAUCUACCUAGUAGAAGGGGAUAGCCCGAGGAAACUCGGAUUAAUACCGUAUACCUCCUUAGGGAGAAAGAGGGCCUCUCUUGAUGCUCUCGCUACUAGAUGAGCCUGCGUAAGAUUAGCUUGUUGGUGAGGUAAUGGCUCACCAAGGCUACGAUCUUUAGCUGGUCUGAGAGGACGAUCAGCCACAUUGGGACUGAGACACGGCCCAGACUCCUACGGGAGGCAGCAGUGGGGAAUAUUGGACAAUGGGCGCAAGCCUGAUCCAGCCAUACCGCGUGUGUGAAGAAGGCCUUCGGGUUGUAAAGCACUUUAAGCAGGGAAAAAAAGUUAUAAGUUAAUACCUUAUAGCCGUGAUAUUACCUGCAGAAUAAGCACCGGCUAAUUCAGUGCCAGCAGCCGCGGUAAUACUGAAGGUGCAAGCGUUAAUCGGAAUUACUGGGCGUAAAGCGCGCGUAGGUGGUUUGUUAAGUUGGAUGUGAAAGCCCUGGGCUCAACCUAGGAACUGCAUCCAAAACUAACUCACUAGAGUACGAUAGAGGGAGGUAGAAUUCAUAGUGUAGCGGUGGAAUGCGUAGAUAUUAUGAAGAAUACCAGUGGCGAAGGCGGCCUCCUGGAUCUGUACUGACACUGAGGUGCGAAAGCGUGGGUAGCGAACAGGAUUAGAUACCCUGGUAGUCCACGCCGUAAACGAUGACAACUAGCUGUUGGAAGACAAUGUUUUUCAGUGGCGCAGCUAACGUUUUAAGUUGUCCGCCUGGGGAGUACGGCCGC